ACUCCUACGGGAGGCAGCAGUGGGGAAUUUUGGACAAUGGGCGAAAGCCUGAUCCAGCAAUGCCGCGUGUGUGAAGAAGGCCUUCGGGUUGUAAAGCACUUUUGUCCGGAAAGAAAUCCUUGGCUCUAAUACAGUCGGGGGAUGACGGUACCGGAAGAAUAAGCACCGGCUAACUACGUGCCAGCAGCCGCGGUAAUACGUAGGGUGCGAGCGUUAAUCGGAAUUACUGGGCGUAAAGCGUGCGCAGGCGGUUUGCUAAGACCGAUGUGAAAUCCCCGGGCUCAACCUGGGAACUGCAUUGGUGACUGGCAGGCUAGAGUAUGGCAGAGGGGGGUAGAAUUCCACGUGUAGCAGUGAAAUGCGUAGAGAUGUGGAGGAAUACCGAUGGCGAAGGCAGCCCCCUGGGCCAAUACUGACGCUCAUGCACGAAAGCGUGGGGAGCAAACAGGAUUAGAAACCCUUGUAGUCCCA
This 471-nucleotide ribosomal RNA is filed under the name uncultured organism. Its description in RNAcentral is "partial 16S ribosomal RNA". It matches the Rfam family "Bacterial small subunit ribosomal RNA", at positions 335 to 797 of the family's 1533-position model. The record is from RNAcentral.